CAACACCUCAAGUGGUCAGGAUGAUUAUUGGGCCUAAAGCAUCCGUAGCCUGCUUUGUUAGUUUUCGGUUAAAUCCAUACGCUCAACGUAUGGGCUGCCGGGAAUACUGCAAAGCUAGGGAGUGGGAGAGGUAGACGGUACUCGGUAGGAAGGGGUAAAAUCCUUUGAUCUAUUGAUGACCACCUGCGGCGAAGGCGGUCUACCAGAACACGUCCGACGGUGAGGGAUGAAAGCUGGGGGAGCAAACCGGAUUAGAUACCCGAGUAGUCC
Molecule: ribosomal RNA, 270 nt
Filed under: uncultured archaeon
Lineage: Archaea
Description: partial 16S ribosomal RNA
Rfam family: Archaeal small subunit ribosomal RNA
Source: RNAcentral